GAUUAACGCUGGCGGCAUGCCUAAUACAUGCAAGUCGAACGGAAGCAGCAAUGCUUUAGUGGCGAACGGGUGAGUAACACGUAGGGAACCUACCUAUACGACGAGGAUAACUACUGGAAACGGUAGCUAAAACUGGAUAGGAUCAAUUGAGGCAUCUUGAUUGAUUUAAAGAUCCUUCGGGAUUACGUAGAGAUGGCCCUGCGGCGCAUUAGCUAGUUGGUGAGGUAACGGCCACCAAGGCGACGAUGCGUAGCUGAGCUGAGAGGCUAAACAGCCACACUGGGACUGAGACACGGCCCAGACUCCUACGGGAGGCAGCAGUAGGGAAUUUUCGGCAAUGGGGGAAACCCUGACCGAGCAAUGCCGCGUGAACGAUGAAGGUCUUCGGAUUGUAAAGUUCUGUGAUUGGGGAAGAAUGGUAUUCUUAGGGAAUGAGGAGUACAUGACGGUACCCGAUUAGAAAGCCCCGGCUAACUAUGUGCCAGCAGCCGCGGUAAUU
Molecule: ribosomal RNA, 499 nt
Filed under: uncultured bacterium
Lineage: Bacteria
Description: bacterial SSU rRNA
Rfam family: Bacterial small subunit ribosomal RNA
Source: RNAcentral